AAUAGAUACCCCGGUAGUCCACCCCGUAAACGUUGGGAACUAGUUGUGGGGUCCAUUCCACGGAUUCCGUGACGCAGCUAACGCAUUAAGUUCCCCGCCUGGGGAGUACGGCCGCAAGGCUAAAACUCAAAGGAAUUGACGGGGACCCGCACAAGCGGCGGAGCAUGCGGAUUAAUUCGAUGCAACGCGAAGAACCUUACCAAGGCUUGACAUAUACGAGAACGGGCCAGAAAUGGUCAACUCUUUGGACACUCGUAAACAGGUGGUGCAUGGUUGUCGUCAGCUCGUGUCGUGAGAUGUUGGGUUAAGUCCCGCAACGAGCGCAACCCUCGUUCUAUGUUGCCAGCACGUAAUGGUGGGAACUCAUGGGAUACUGCCGGGGUCAACUCGGAGGAAGGUGGGGAUGACGUCAAAUCAUCAUGCCCCUUAUGUCUUGGGCUUCACGCAUGCUACAAUGGUCCGGUACAAAGGGCUGCAAUACCGCGAGGUGGAGCGAAUCCCGAAAAACGCCGGUCCAGUUCGGAUUGAGGUCUGCAACUCGACCUCAUG
This 549-nucleotide ribosomal RNA is filed under the name uncultured bacterium. Its description in RNAcentral is "bacterial SSU rRNA". It matches the Rfam family "Bacterial small subunit ribosomal RNA", at positions 777 to 1322 of the family's 1533-position model. The record is from RNAcentral.